This 1581-nucleotide ribosomal RNA is filed under the name Limosilactobacillus fermentum. Its description in RNAcentral is "bacterial SSU rRNA". It matches the Rfam family "Bacterial small subunit ribosomal RNA". The record is from RNAcentral. Lineage: Bacteria; Bacillati; Bacillota; Bacilli; Lactobacillales; Lactobacillaceae.
UUUAUAUGAGAGUUUGAUCCUGGCUCAGGAUGAACGCCGGCGGUGUGCCUAAUACAUGCAAGUCGAACGCGUUGGCCCAAUUGAUUGAUGGUGCUUGCACCUGAUUGAUUUUGGUCGCCAACGAGUGGCGGACGGGUGAGUAACACGUAGGUAACCUGCCCAGAAGCGGGGGACAACAUUUGGAAACAGAUGCUAAUACCGCAUAACAGCGUUGUUCGCAUGAACAACGCUUAAAAGAUGGCUUCUCGCUAUCACUUCUGGAUGGACCUGCGGUGCAUUAGCUUGUUGGUGGGGUAACGGCCUACCAAGGCGAUGAUGCAUAGCCGAGUUGAGAGACUGAUCGGCCACAAUGGGACUGAGACACGGCCCAUACUCCUACGGGAGGCAGCAGUAGGGAAUCUUCCACAAUGGGCGCAAGCCUGAUGGAGCAACACGCGCGUGAGUGAAGAAGGGUUUCGGCUCGUAAAGCUCUGUUGUUAAAGAAGAACACGUAUGAGAGUAACUGUUCAUACGUUGACGGUAUUUAACCAGAAAGUCACGGCUAACUACGUGCCAGCAGCCGCGGUAAUACGUAGGUGGCAAGCGUUAUCCGGAUUUAUUGGGCGUAAAGAGAGUGCAGGCGGUUUUCUAAGUCUGAUGUGAAAGCCUUCGGCUUAACCGGAGAAGUGCAUCGGAAACUGGAUAACUUGAGUGCAGAAGAGGGUAGUGGAACUCCAUGUGUAGCGGUGGAAUGCGUAGAUAUAUGGAAGAACACCAGUGGCGAAGGCGGCUACCUGGUCUGCAACUGACGCUGAGACUCGAAAGCAUGGGUAGCGAACAGGAUUAGAUACCCUGGUAGUCCAUGCCGUAAACGAUGAGUGCUAGGUGUUGGAGGGUUUCCGCCCUUCAGUGCCGGAGCUAACGCAUUAAGCACUCCGCCUGGGGAGUACGACCGCAAGGUUGAAACUCAAAGGAAUUGACGGGGGCCCGCACAAGCGGUGGAGCAUGUGGUUUAAUUCGAAGCUACGCGAAGAACCUUACCAGGUCUUGACAUCUUGCGCCAACCCUAGAGAUAGGGCGUUUCCUUCGGGAACGCAAUGACAGGUGGUGCAUGGUCGUCGUCAGCUCGUGUCGUGAGAUGUUGGGUUAAGUCCCGCAACGAGCGCAACCCUUGUUACUAGUUGCCAGCAUUAAGUUGGGCACUCUAGUGAGACUGCCGGUGACAAACCGGAGGAAGGUGGGGACGACGUCAGAUCAUCAUGCCCCUUAUGACCUGGGCUACACACGUGCUACAAUGGACGGUACAACGAGUCGCGAACUCGCGAGGGCAAGCAAAUCUCUUAAAACCGUUCUCAGUUCGGACUGCAGGCUGCAACUCGCCUGCACGAAGUCGGAAUCGCUAGUAAUCGCGGAUCAGCAUGCCGCGGUGAAUACGUUCCCGGGCCUUGUACACACCGCCCGUCACACCAUGAGAGUUUGUAACACCCAAAGUCGGUGGGGUAACCUUUUAGGAGCCAGCCGCCUAAGGUGGGACAGAUGAUUAGGGUGAAGUCGUAACAAGGUAGCCGUAGGAGAACCUGCGGCUGGAUCACCUCCUUUCUA